GGAGCUGAAGCCAGUCGAAGAUACCAGCUGGCUGCAACUGUUUAUUAAAAACACAGCACUGUGCAAACACGAAAGUGGACGUAUACGGUGUGACGCCUGCCCGGUGCCGGAAGGUUAAUUGAUGGGGUUAUCCGUAAGGAGAAGCUCUUGAUCGAAGCCCCGGUAAACGGCGGCCGUAACUAUAACGGUCCUAAGGUAGCGAAAUUCCUUGUCGGGUAAGUUCCGACCUGCACGAAUGGCGUAAUGAUGGCCAGGCUGUCUCCACCCGAGACUCAGUGAAAUUGAAAUCGCUGUGAAGAUGCAGUGUACCCGCGGCAAGACGGAAAGACCCCGUGAACCUUUACUAUAGCUUGACACUGAACACUGGUCCUUGAUGUGCAGGAUAGGUGGGAGGCUUUGAAGCGUGGACGCCAGUCUGCGUGGAGCCAUCCUUGAAAUACCACCCUUUAAUGGCUGGUGUUCUAACGUUGACCCGUUACCCGGGUUGCGGACAGUGUCUGGUGGGUAGUUUGACUGGGGCGGUCUCCUCCUAAAGCGUAACGGAGGAGCACGAAGGUUGGCUAAUCCUGGUCGGACAUCAGGAGGUUAGUGCAAUGGCAUAAGCCAGCUUGACUGCGAGCGUGACGGCGCGAGCAGGUGCGAAAGCAGGUCAUAGUGAUCCGGUGGUUCUGAAUGGAAGGGCCAUCGCUCAACGGAUAAAAGGUACUCCGGGGAUAACAGGCUGAUACCGCCCAAGAGUUCAUAUCGACGGCGGUGUUUGGCACCUCGAUGUCGGCUCAUCACAUCCUGGGGCUGAAGUAGGUCCCAAGGGUAUGGCUGUUCGCCAUUUAAAGUGGUACGCGAGCUGGGUUUAGAACGUCGUGAGACAGUUCGGUCCCUAUCUGCCGUGGGCGCUGGAGAACUGAGGGGGGCUGCUCCUAGUACGAGAGGACCGGAGUGGACGCAUCACUGGUGUUCGGGUUGUCAUGCCAAUGGCACUGCCCGGUAGCUACAUGCGGAAGAGAUAAGUGCUGAAAGCAUCUAAGCACGAAACUUGCCCCGAGAUGAGUUCUCCCUGAGACU
This 1062-nucleotide ribosomal RNA is filed under the name Atlantibacter subterraneus. RNAcentral describes it as "Atlantibacter subterranea partial 23S ribosomal RNA". It matches the Rfam family "Bacterial large subunit ribosomal RNA", at positions 1763 to 2822 of the family's 2925-position model. The record is from RNAcentral. Lineage: Bacteria; Pseudomonadati; Pseudomonadota; Gammaproteobacteria; Enterobacterales; Enterobacteriaceae.